GUGUAAUUUUGCACCGGCUCCGGGAGUCGGAUAAGCACCAGGUUUUCUAGUUAAGUGGACCACAAAAUUCGGGGAAGCCUAUAUAAGGCUUUUCGAGGAAGAAGGCGAUCAGUCGAGCCACGGAGCUCACCGUCGCAACAUCGUCCUCGAACGUAUCGGAUCUUUCACCUUAUUUUUCUCUGUUCAAUUCUUUAUUCAUCUAUUUCUUUUUCUUCUUCUUCUUCUUCUUCUUCUUCUUCUACUUAUUCUUUUCUUUUUUUUGAAUCAUACUUCUCUAUUUUGGUGAAAGUAUUAGUUCGACGAAUAUUUUCUUAUAUAAUUCUUACACAUUUUUACUCUAUUUAUUAUAUUUUUAUUACUUAUAUCAGGGUGAAUCUUAUUCUUAUAGAUUAGUUAGUAUAGUCUCUUUUUUUCUAUGAAUUUAGAUUUAUUCAAUACGUUCAAUAUAUUUACGUAUGCAUAUCGUUUCCAUCGUCGAAAUAUUAUUGGACAAAUUUGCAUUUCGAUGAAAACAUGUUGCAUAUAUGUUCAUAUAGUACUAAAGUAAAUAUGAAAUUCAUUACUUUGAGCAAUAUUUCUGAACGAACGAUCGGGAACAUCGAAAAGGGAGAAUUUUUAAUUAGGAUAUUAUGAAUGUCAGGGCAUGCUCGCGUAAAGAUAAAAAUAAUGUUACUUCAAACUUGAUCUGCAUUACUAUUUCAAGAAAUUACUGUAAUUGAAUAAGUCGUGCCACAAGAAAUUGGUUAUAGGGCAUGUAUAAAAGCUUAUCAAACAAUUACAUUUAUUAUCUUUUUUAACUAUGAAAGAAGUAAAAGAAGGAAUCGAGAACUCGUGAAUGAAGAGUAAUCGGAACUUUGACGUUUAGAGGAAUUUCGAAAUUUGGCGAGGAGGAGUGUAACGAAAGAGAAAAAUCGGAUGUUCGGUCGUCGAGUAGUCGACAACGUUGGAGAUGGAAAAGACGAAGUAAGAGGAAAAGUAGGAGAAAGAAAAGGAAGAGGAGGAUGAGGAGGAGGAGGAGGAGGUCGAGUGACGUCGACGUUAUUCGGCAUGAAGCGACGCACGUCGGGUAAGCGCGAGAAUGCAAGCCAGGUGGUUUGAAGGCUCUUCAGGUCAAACAAGUGGAACUGCUGGUGUAGAGGAUGGGACGGAAAAGAAGAAAAGGGUGGCUGGAAAGAGGGAAAUGCGGAGAAGGAGGACGAUAGAGUAGAUAGACGGAUAGAAGGCGAAGGCGUAAGAGGAGGAGGAGGAGGAGGAGAAAAGGAAGGGAGGAAGAAGAAGAAAAAGGAAGAGGAGGAGAUGGAAGAGGGAAGAGAAUGUAGACAGGAAGGAUGUUCGUCGAGUGCCAUCGACUUAACUUGUACCAUGGCAGAACGAGCACCAGUCCAUGUACUUCUCCAGAGGCUGGAGAGUAACAGAGAUGUGUGAGAGAGGAAGACCGAAACAUGCCGGCAUAAUAAGCUUUGUGCGCGACUGUUGAGAGAUUCCUCUCUCGCGGAGAGCUGAAGAGUCGCCGAGAGAACUAGAAGAGCUGUAGCUGUGGUAGCAAUAGCAGCAGAGCAACGGCAGCAAUGGGCGAACGGCAUGCAGCUUUCCUUUACCCUCUGUCUACCUCCCCCCUUUUCCUCCGCCCACCUCCGGAUGAGGAGGAACAAGAGAAGCAAGAAGAGUCAGAGAAGUCGACCAUCCGUCGAAUGCGAAAGAUGCGAAUCCGUUUCGUCUUUUCUACUCCAAUUUUACCUUCCCCCCCUCCCUCAUUUUCUACUUCCUUCUUUAUUUUUAAUUACGAAUUACUUAAAAAAAAAGGAAAAAAGAAAAUAAAGAAAAAGAGAGAGAGAGAGAGAGACCGCGGAGGUAAUUACCCUACCUUGGAUGGUUUAAUCGUUCCGACCUAGAAUUCUUUUUUCUUUUACGUAUAAAAGAAGGAAGGGUUGGUUAUGGUUGGAAAGCUCGUUGACUUAAAUACGUCAUAUUUGUUCGCGAAACUUCAUUUCUGUAUUAUUCGGAAUCGGGUUAGAAGGUGGAGGAAAGAUUUUCAGUUUCUUUUUUUUCUUUUUUCUUCCAACAGCAAAAAUUUAUUUCGAAUAUUCGAAUAACGAUAAGCUCGGGGACUAUGGGAAAAUCGACUUUGGUUGACUUUGGCCGUGAAUACGUGUCUAUAGAAUAUACCGAACAGGGCUGUAAGUGGGUUAAAGGCACUAGUUGUGUAGAGGGUAAAGUGCAUAGUUUGCUCGCGCUUGAAAACAACGGCGAGUGGGAUCGCCUAACGAAGUGUAUUUGCUGCGAGCCCACGGGAACGAAAUAUGGGGAGCGAGCGGGAACGAAAGAAAACGUAAUCCGGGAUAAGUCGUUAACAGUUGACUCAUUCUCCUCUUCGGGCUAAAGGAUAUUCAGACACUCCGAGCCCUCACUCGUUUGUUCGCAUAGCGGCCUUUCGUUCUUAACGAAACACAAAGGAUGCGCGCGCAAAUUUCCAAUGGUUUGCCAUACAUAAAUAUACGUAUAUAGAAAGUAUAUAUAUAUAUGUAUGUAUAUUUAUGCACCUACAUUCUAUAUAUUAACGUCUUACGUAAACACGCCCACACAUAGUUAUAUAGGAAUAUUUUACUCGAGAAAUAAUGGGAGCUCUCGAUUUGCUUAUAAAGUAAACAACAUGCAAGACUAGUUGUAACAUUGCUAUCUCGAUUUCAACUCCUAAUAAUUCCACUUUAUCGCUUUCCAUUGGUCCUAUUUCAACGCGGUUUAAAGAGAUCGUUAUCUCUCGCGAAUUAACGUGUUUAUUAAGAUUAUACUUAAAAAAAAAGAAAAGAGAGAAAAUAAAUCUAAGAAGGAAAUAUAGUAACAUUGAAAUGGAACGAUGAAUACGAUAAUGCAUACAAAGUACGUGUAUCUCUUCUAAAAAUAAAUGCAGUUAUCUGAUGUUUAUGUUGUAAUACGAAUAUUUUGUUAAAACAACGUAUACAUUUGCUAACAAAUUGAUUGGAAAAAUAAAACAAAGCUAAUAAUUAGAUAAAGCAUAUUGGAAAAAAGAUUUUGGCUCUAAAUGAAGAAUCUUAGCGAAUAAAGGCACGCAGCAAAGCGCAAGUAAAAUGAGAUGAAAGAUAAAAAUGACGAAGAAAAAGAUAAUGAAUCGAGAGAUGUUAAAACAAGCAAAUUUCCAUGCUAAUCCAGCAUGUAUUGAUUAAACAUUGUUGAAUAUCACCGACUAAAGUUUUACCAUAUCUACUUCGAUGGUCGGUAUCCGUGAUAUAAUUUUUUCCUUUUUCUCUCAUUCUCUUUUCACUUCUUUCAUUUCUUUCUAGCAUCAUCUCUCUUUGGCUCGAUUCGACAAAGAACAGCCGAACUCGUGGAAAUCCUGUCCCCAGUCGGUUCGGUUAGUCCGUGGUAGGAGCGAGUGAGAGAACGGAAGAGAAAGAGAAAAAGAGAGAGAGAGAGAGAGGGAUGGAUGGAAGCAUGGGUACACGAACGAGGUGGUUCGAAAAGGGGUAGAAAGGAAAGGGGAUGGAGUACUCGUUGAUUUCCCGUUUUCAUAUUCAAUAUGAUCUGUCUCGGCAUUGUAUUCAUUGAAAACGAGUCAACCGCAUGCAAGAUCAGGAACCGGGCGCCAGAAACGAGAGUAGAUCAUGGAAGCUCUCGUUCCCUUUCUCUCUCUCCCUUUCUCUCUCUCCCUCUCUCUCUCUCUGUCUCUCUCUCUUUUCCUCCUUUCGACGUUGGCGAUGAUGGUGAUAUUGGUAGUAGUACCGCCACUGACGAAGGCAGUGUUGGUAAUGGUGGGUAGGUCGUUGCGGUGGUUGGAUGGAUGGUUAGUUGGUAGUGGAUCAUGGCGAGAGUACGAACGAGAGAAGAGCUUGGGCGAAGUGGUAUAGGAACUGUGAGGAGGAGAGUGAGAAAGAUCUACAGAUGGAGGUGGAUGUGUUUCGAGGAAGAAUCUCCCCACAUCUCACUCGCAUAGAUAUCUUUUGAGUUUACCGCGAGAUUUCUGAAUGGGUAGAAUUGGCAAUAUGGGCUCCUUCUGUUUAGAAAGUCCUACUUCUAUUACGAAUUCUCGUGUCUUUAUAAUAAAGCUUGUGUUAUUAAAAUUGAUGAGGAUUGUUGAACUGUUAUAUAAAUGUGUAAGAGAAAUAUAAUGAUUAUUUUUAUAAAUUAUUAUAAUAGAUGAAACUUGAUUAUUAAACAAAUAUAUUUAAUAAUAAUAAUAUAGAUGAAUGAAUGAACGAUAACACAAAAUUAAAAAGAAUAUUAAACAAUUACGUAAUUCAUAUUCUCAGGAAUUGGUAAUGCGAAUAAAAGUAAUUUUAAUUAAUUGUGUAGUUUGUAUAUAUUCUGAUUUAUUUAACUAACGAAUUCGCUGCAGGAAAAAAUAUAAGCCUGGAUAAAGUGUAACGUAAAAUAUAUAUUAUUAUUUUUUGAAUAAAAGUGUUCAAAU
RNAcentral lists this long non-coding RNA (4423 nucleotides) under Polistes canadensis. RNAcentral describes it as "uncharacterized LOC106786869". The record is from RNAcentral. Lineage: Eukaryota; Metazoa; Arthropoda; Insecta; Hymenoptera; Vespidae.